This 253-nucleotide ribosomal RNA is filed under the name uncultured bacterium. RNAcentral's name for it is "partial 16S ribosomal RNA". It matches the Rfam family "Bacterial small subunit ribosomal RNA", at positions 524 to 776 of the family's 1533-position model. The record is from RNAcentral.
UACGGAGGGGGCUAGCGUUGUUCGGAAUUACUGGGCGUAAAGAGCACGUAGGCGGUUUAGAAAGUUGGAAGUGAAAUCCCGGGGCUUAACCUCGGAACUGCUUUCAAAACUCCUAAGCUAGAGUAUGACAGAGGAAAGUAGAAUUCCCGGUGUAGAGGUGAAAUUCGUAGAUAUCGGGAGGAAUACCAGAGGCGAAGGCGACUUUCUGGGUCAUAACUGACGCUAAGGUGCGAAAGCGUGGGGAGCAAACAGG